AGUUUACAUAAAAAAUCAUACUUUUACGGUGGCGUGGUGGGAGUGGUAUUAAUUGCCUCUGGCAGAAUUGAUUGCUAUUGAUUUUUCCUCCCCAAAUCCCAUCUCCGUUCUUGCCCCUGGAACACCGCCCAGGCGAUUUUGGCAGAAUCACCGGAGCUGCUCCAUGCUGGACCUGCCACACACCGGACUGCGGCUGCUCGUGCAAACGGUGGUGCGGCCUUGUGUUCUCUGUGCAACUGUGAACAUAUAUACCCAUUCUUGACCAAAAUCAUCAAAUCCUUCAUCUGCCCACUCAACUCCCUUGUUGGUGUGUCCAUAGUCACAAAAUUCCUGGGUCGACCGAGUCGAGGGUCGUCGCUUUAUAAAAUUGUGGUACAAAGGGGUAUACCUCUAUGGAAUGAUAAAUUAUUAUGUGGAACGUGACUCUGAUUCAUCCGGGUCAAUAUUUUCGGGUCAAUGCGUCUUUAAAAAGACAAAAACUAUAUAUGUGCUACUAAUGAAAAAACUAAUCUACACAAGCAUAUAAGAAAUGUAUAAAAAGAAUACAUUUAGACCAUAGUACACGUACUCGGCUCAUUAUCUAACAAAAACCACACCAUUAACCUUCUUAUCUCAAUUAAAUCUGCUAGUAAUGGUGCUGCGACUCCUCUCAAACCGGGACGCGAUCCAAUUUUGAAUAGGACACUGACCCUCUUUGAUUCUGACCCUCGAAUCGGAACGACGUUCCCGGGUCGUGGGACGAGACAUCGACCCCGAAUCCCGUGACUAUGGGUGUAUCCCCUGGUGCAAUAGAGAGGCAGCUAGGCUGCUAACGUCAAUCUGCUGCACACAUCUUGGAUGCAGUUCUUUGGGUGGUAAGCCGCAGAAGACACGGGCCAAGCAGCAAUCAGAGUCGCCGACCAGUCAAGUGCAACAUCCACAGGCUCCCGUCUGGUCCGUACCGCUCACCCACCAUCGCCGCUGGGUCGGCCCCUCCGCGCCCUUCCCAGUCGCUAGCGGUUGUCCUCCGCCCGCUCCCCUGACUCCUAGCGACGCGCAGGGGAUCCACUCGGCGACAACGCUUCAAGCCGACAUGAGUGGUCAAAUUUACAGUCUGUGAGGAGAUCCAGUAUGGGUUGGGCAUGCAAGAUGGCCACCCCUGAUGCCAUAGACGAAGCAGAGGCGACAAACACCCUGCUACAGCAACCAGCUACCACAACACUUGAUCCUGAUGCUCACCUAGUACCUGGCCAGGAUGCGCAACCUCCCGUCGGAAGAAGAAAGCCGUGCAGAAACGGCAUGGAAACCCGCCUCCGCCUCCUAGCUCUACUAUCACACCAGAAUACAGCAAAGCUAACACAUCAACCAAUGACUCGGCAGAAAAAUCAUGUCCGGCGAACUCCUAGGAUCUCCGCCGGUGUUGGGAGUAAAGAUACACUUGUGGUGAAGUAAUAAUUUUAAGAGGCAAUUGCGUGAAAAUACUACUCCAAUGUUUUGAAAUUACUUCCUUGCAGUUGCUGAGCAUAUUACUUCUUUCUGUUUUGAAAUUACUUCUUUGAAAAAUAAAGAUGUCAAAAUCAUUAUAAACAUGAUGUAGUAAAUAUGAAAUACUUUUCAAAUUUGAAAUUACUACUCCAAAGACUUACUUCUCAGAAUAA
Long non-coding RNA from Panicum virgatum (switchgrass), 1637 nucleotides. RefSeq lists it as uncharacterized. The record is from RefSeq and is a predicted model, not a curated record. Lineage: Eukaryota; Viridiplantae; Streptophyta; Magnoliopsida; Poales; Poaceae. The transcript has 3 exons.